Molecule: ribosomal RNA, 1240 nt
Filed under: metagenome
Description: bacterial LSU rRNA
Rfam family: Bacterial large subunit ribosomal RNA
Source: RNAcentral
UGAGUACGAGAUGCUACGGCAUUGAAGCAGUCUAUGUCAUACUUCCAAGAAAAGCUUGCACUGUCAUAAACAAAGAAUGCCUGUACCAUAACCGACACAGGUGGGUAGGUAGAGUAUACUAAGGGGCGCGAGAUAACUCUCUCUAAGGAACUCGGCAAAAUGACUCCGUAACUUCGGGAGAAGGAGUGCCUUAUUUUUAAGGUUGCAAUAACAAGAUCCAAGCAACUGUUUAUCAAAAACACAGGUCUCCGCUAAGUCGUAAGACGAUGUAUGGGGGCUGACGCCUGCCCAGUGCCAGAAGGUUAAAGAAGUUGGUUAGCAUUCGCGAAGCUGAUAACUGAAGCCCUGGUGAACGGCGGCCGUAACAAUAACGGUCCUAAGGUAGCGAAAUUCCUUGUCGGGUAAGUUCCGACCCGCACGAAAGGCGUAAUGAUUUGGAUACUGUCUCGGAGAGGGACUCGGUGAAAUAGACUUGUCUGUGAAGAUGCGGACUACCUGCACCUGGACAGAAAGACCCUAUGAAGCUUUACUGUAACUUGAAAUUGAAAUUGGACUUUAGUUGCGCAGGAUAGGUGGGAGGCGCUGAGAAUAUUCUUGCGGGAGUAUUGGAGCCAUCAGUGAGAUACCACUCUUCUAAUGUUAGAUUUCUAACUUUGUAUCAUUAUCUGGUCAAAGAACAGUUUCAGGCGGGCAGUUUGACUGGGGCGGUCGCCUCCUAAAGGGUAACGGAGGCGCACAAAGGUUUCCUCUGAACGAGUAGAAAUCGUAUCUAGAGUGUAAAGGCAUAAGGAAGCUUGACUGUGAGACCUACAAGUCGAGCAGGGACGAAAGUCGGUCUUAGUGAUCUGACGGUGCCGAGUGGAAAGGCCGUCACUCAACGGAUAAAAGUUACUCUAGGAUAACAGGCUGAUCUCCCCCAAGAGUUCACAUCGACGGGGAGGUUUGGCACCUCGAUGUCGGCUCAUCGCAUCCUGGGGCGGUAGUACGUCCCAAGGGUUGGGCUGUUCGCCCAUGAAAGCGGUACGCGAGCUGGGUUCAGAACGUCGUGAGACAGUUCGGUCCAUAUCCGGUGUAGGCGUUAGAAUAUUGAGAGGAGCCUUCUCUAGUACGAGAGGACCGAGAAGGACAUACCUCUAGUGUACCAGUUAUCGUGCCAACGGUAAACGCUGGGUAGCUAUGUAUGGAGUGGAUAACCGCUGAAAGCAUCUAAGUGGGAAGCCCACCUCAAGAUAAGUAUUCU